UUUUCAGUGUCGCAGCAAAAGCGUUAAGCACACCGCCUGGGGAGUACGACCGCAAGGUUAAAACUCAAAUGAAUUGACGGGGACCCGCACAAGUAGUGGAGCAUGUGGUUUAAUUCGAAGAUACGCGCAGAACCUUACCAACACUUGACAUGUUCGUCGCGACUCUAAGAGAUUAGAGUUUUCGGUUCGGCCGGACGAAACACAGGUGCUGCAUGGCUGUCGUCAGCUCGUGUCGUGAGAUGUUGGGUUAAGUCCCGCAACGAGCGCAACCCUUACUUUUAGUUGCUACCAUUUAGUUGGGCACUCUAAAAGAACUGCCAGUGAUAAGCUGGAGGAAGGUGGGGAUGACGUCAAGUCCUCAUGGCCCUUAUGUGUUGGGCUACACACGUGCUACAAUGGUAUUUACAGUGGGAUGCAAAGAGGCAACUCCAAGCAAACCCUCAAAAAAUACCUCAGUUCGGAUUGUACUCUGCAACUCGAGUACAUGAAGCUGGAAUUACUAGUAAUCGCGGAUCAGCGCGCCGCGGUGAAUACGUUCCCGGGUCUUGUACACACCGCCCGUCACACCAUGGAAGUUGGUUACACCUUAAGGCAAAGUGUAAAAUCUUUGACUACGGUACGAUCAGCGACUGGGGUGAAGUCGUAACAAGGUAGCCGUAGGGGAACCUGCGGCUGGAUCACCUCCUU
RNAcentral lists this ribosomal RNA (687 nucleotides) under uncultured marine alpha proteobacterium. RNAcentral's name for it is "bacterial SSU rRNA". It matches the Rfam family "Bacterial small subunit ribosomal RNA", at positions 837 to 1532 of the family's 1533-position model. The record is from RNAcentral. Lineage: Bacteria; Pseudomonadati; Pseudomonadota; Alphaproteobacteria.